CCUAUACAUGCAAGUCGAGCGGACAGAAGGGAGCUUGCUCCCGGAUGUUAGCGGCGGACGGGUGAGUAACACGUGGGUAACCUGCCUGUAAGACUGGGAUAACUCCGGGAAACCGGAGCUAAUACCGGAUAGUUCCUUGAACCGCAUGGUUCAAGGAUGAAAGACGGUUUCGGCUGUCACUUGCAGAUGGACCCGCGGCGCAUUAGCUAGUUGGUGGGGUAAUGGCUCACCAAGGCGACGAUGCGUAGCCGACCUGAGAGGGUGAUCGGCCACACUGGGACUGAGACACGGCCCAGACUCCUACGGGAGGCAGCAGUAGGGAAUCUUCCGCAAUGGACGAAAGUCUGACGGAGCAACGCCGCGUGAGUGAUGAAGGUUUUCGGAUCGUAAAGCUCUGUUGUUAGGGAAGAACAAGUGCGAGAGUAACUGCUCGCACCUUGACGGUACCUAACCAGAAAGCCACGGCUAACUACGUGCCAGCAGCCGCGGUAAUACGUAGGUGGCAAGCGUUGUCCGGAAUUAUUGGGCGUAAAGGGCUCGCAGGCGGUUUCUUAAGUCUGAUGUGAAAGCCCCCGGCUCAACCGGGGAGGGUCAUUGGAAACUGGGAAACUUGAGUGCAGAAGAGGAGAGUGGAAUUCCACGUGUAGCGGUGAAAUGCGUAGAGAUGUGGAGGAACACCAGUGGCGAAGGCGACUCUCUGGUCUGUAACUGACGCUGAGGAGCGAAAGCGUGGGGAGCGAACAGGAUUAGAUACCCUGGUAGUCCACGCCGUACACGAUGAGUGCUAAGUGUUAGGGGGUUUCCGCCUCUUACUGCUGCAGCUAACGCAUUAAGCACU
Molecule: ribosomal RNA, 838 nt
Filed under: Bacillus safensis
Lineage: Bacteria; Bacillati; Bacillota; Bacilli; Caryophanales; Bacillaceae
Description: bacterial SSU rRNA
Rfam family: Bacterial small subunit ribosomal RNA
Source: RNAcentral